GAUGAACGCUGGCGGCGUGGAUAAGGCAUGCAAGUCAAGGGGGCCUCGCAAGAGGCAACCGGCAGACGAGGUAGUAAUAAGUAGGUAUGUCCCUUCGAGUCGCGAAUAGCCCGUCGAAAGACGGGGUAAUACGCAAUGGUCCCUCCGGGGUAAAGAUUUAUCGCUCGAAGAACGGCCUGCUCGGUAUCAGCUAGUUGGCGGUGUAAAAGACCACCAAGGCUAUGACGCCUAGGGGAGCUGAGAGGCUGACCCCCACCGAUGGGACUGAGACACGGCCCAUACACCUACGGGUGGCUGCAGUCGAGAAUCUUCCGCAAUGGACGAAAGUCUGACGGAGCGACGCCGCGUGCAGGAUGAAGUUCUUCGGGAUGUAAACUGCUUUUAUGAGCGAGAAAGUUUAUUGAUCAGCUCAUGAAUAAGAGGUUGCUAAACUCGUGCCAGCAGCAGCGGUAAUACGAGUGCCUCGAGCGUUAUCCGGAAUCAUUGGGCGUAAAGGGUGUGUAGGUGGUGGCGUUAGUCUUUCGUUAAAUUCUUUGACUUAAUCAAAGCCAUGCGGGGGAAACGGCGCGACUUCGAGGAUGCGAGGGGAGAGCGGAACUCAUAGUGUAGCGGUGAAAUGCGUUGAUAUUAUGGGGAACACCAAAAGCGAAGGCAGCUCUCUGGAGCACUCCUGACACUGAAACACGAAAGCGUGGGUAGCGAACGGGAUUAGAUACCCCGGUAGUCCACGCCCUAAACGAUGAUCACUAGCUAUUCGGAGUAUCGACCCUCCAAGUGGCGCAGCCAACGCGUUAAGUGAUCCGCCUGGGUAGUACGGCCGCAAGGCUAAAACUCAAAGGAAUAGACGGGGACUUGCACAAGCGGAGGAACAUGUGGUUCAAUUCGAUGGUAAACGAAAAACCUUACCAGGGUUAGAAAUCUAACUGAAGACAGGCGGAAACGUUUGUCGCCGCAAGGCAGUUAGACAGGUGUUGCAUGGUCGUCGUCAGUUCGUGGCUUGAGUUGUUCCCUUCAGUGGGGUAACGAACGCAACCCCCGUUGCCUGUUACACGUAUCAGGCGAGACUGCCCAGCUUUUUGUUCACAAAUUUUUGCGAAUAAAAAGCUGGGAGGAAGGUGGGGAUGACGCCAGAUCAGCAUGACCCUCUGAUAUCCUGGGCUACACACGUGUUACAAUGCCGGCUACAACGCGAGGCGAAGGGGAAACCCGGAGCAAAUCGUCAGAAAAGUCGGCCAAGUUCGGAUUGAGGUCUGCAACUCGACCUCAUGAAGCCGGAUUCGCUAGUAAUCGCAGAUCAGCAAUGCUGCGGUGAAUACGUUCUCAAGUCUUGUACUCACCGCCCGUCAACUCAAGGGAGCUGGGAAUACCCGAAGUCGCCCGCUUGUCGGCGCCUAAGGUAAGCUCAGUGAC
This 1410-nucleotide ribosomal RNA is filed under the name uncultured bacterium. Its description in RNAcentral is "16S ribosomal RNA". It matches the Rfam family "Bacterial small subunit ribosomal RNA". The record is from RNAcentral.